Molecule: ribosomal RNA, 394 nt
Filed under: uncultured soil bacterium
Lineage: Bacteria
Description: bacterial SSU rRNA
Rfam family: Bacterial small subunit ribosomal RNA
Source: RNAcentral
GCAGCAGCGUGGAAUCUUGCGCAAUGGCCUAUCGGCUGACGCAGCGACGCCGCGUGUGGGAUGAAGCUCUUCGGAGUGUAAACCACUGUUGCCCGGGACGAAUAGUUCGAUUAAUCGAGCCUGACGGUACCGGGUGAGGAAGCACCGGCUAACUCCGUGCCAGCAGCCGCGGUAAUACGGAGGGUGCGAGCGUUGUCCGGAAUCACUGGGCGUAAAGGGCGCGUAGGUGGUUUGAUAAGUCUGUGGUGAAAGUCCGGGGCUCAACCCCGGAUCUGCCGUGGCGACUGUCAAACUCGAGGACGGUAGAGGCGGGUGGAAUUCCGGGUGUAGCGGUGGAAUGCGUAGAGAUCCGGAGGAACACCGGUGGCGAAGGCGCUCUGCUGACAGUUCUGAC